Molecule: non-coding RNA, 775 nt
Organism: Monodelphis domestica (gray short-tailed opossum)
Lineage: Eukaryota; Metazoa; Chordata; Mammalia; Didelphimorphia; Didelphidae
Source: RefSeq, a predicted model, not a curated record
GGGCAGUCCUGGAGAGGAGUAUUGGCUGUGAUUGGUAGAUGUAAAUAUAGGAGAGGUGACACAAGAGAAAAAGGUUUUUAAGUAGUGGAAACAGAGACACAGAGAUGGACGGUUACUCAGAGGAGAGACUGGAAGACAGUCACUCAGACUUGGAGUGAAGACACUUGGCUAUGGAAUUGGACCUCUGGAGGAGCUUAUGCAGGAGACCUCAAGACUGCUUUACUUUUAGACAGUCACCAUGCCAAUCAAGUAUCUAACUGGCCAGUGGACUCCUUCUACAAUCAAAACAGACACCAAAAAACAUGAAGCAUCUGUGAGGAGCAAAAGACAGCAUCAGAGAAAGAAAAAAAGUUGCAUAUGUGAGACCACGAAAGCUCUUCCUUUCCUACUCUACCACAAACUCUUGGAAGGAAUGGUCCCUGCACCCGAUUCCCAUCGUUUCUACCUCGACAAGCUCUUCCUUGUUGAUGAGAAUAAGAUUGAGUAUACAAUCUUCCUCUUUUUGUUCCUCUGCCUUUUGAAGGAUGAAAUUACCAUUAAAGCAAUUUAGGAAGCUAUUAGCUGCUCUCCUUCUGGCAAAGAUUUCCAGAGAUGUGUAGGUUAACACAGAAAGGUACACAAAUUGGAUCAACUAGAAGGGGCUAUAUAAGAAAGAAUUUUUACAUGCUAAUGUUCUCAUAGAAAAGAAUUGGAAACAAAGUAGGUACCCAUUUUAUAUAAAUAUAAUGGACUUCUUGGUAGAAAAGUGACAAAGAAAUAAAUAAUAAGACAAAUA